AACGGCCGCGGUAUCCUAACCGUGCGAAGGUAGCGUAAUCACUUGUUCUUUAAAUGAGGACUAGUAUGAAUGGCACCACGAGGGUUAAGCUGUCUCCUUUUUCUAAUCAGUGAAACUAAUCUCCCCGUGAAGAAGCGGGGAUUAUAUUAUAAGACGAGAAGACCCUAUGGAGCUUAAAACAAAUUAACACCUGCUUCUGCCUAAUUUACUUCAUGAAUUAACAUAUAAAGUAUAGCAUCGCUGAUUAAUAGUUUUCGAUUGGGGUGAUCAUGGAGUAAAAAAUAACCUCCACGACGAAAAGGAACACUUCCCUGAGCCAAAAGCCACAACUUUAAGCACUAAAAAAUUGACGCACUUUGACCCAAAUUUUUGAGCAACGAACCAAGUUACCCUAGGGAUAACAGCGCAAUCCACUUCAAGAGCCCCUAUCGACAAGUGGGUUUACGACCUCGAUGUUGGAUCAGGGUGUCCCAGUGGUGCAGCCGCUACUAAAGGUUCGUUUGUUCAACGAUUAAAACCCUACGUGAUCUGAGUUCAGACCGGAGAAAUCCAGGUCAGUUUCUAUCUAUAAAGGGCUUUUUCCAGUACGAAAGGACCGAAAAAGCAUGGCCAAUGACCAAUUAAGCCAUAUAAGUUACCAAUGUUUUCAACUUAAUUAGAAGCAAACCUACCACAAACCUCAAAAAAAGAGAAGUCAACGUAGCAAAACCUGGCCCUGCAA
This 721-nucleotide ribosomal RNA is filed under the name Boana lanciformis. RNAcentral describes it as "partial 16S ribosomal RNA". It matches the Rfam family "Bacterial large subunit ribosomal RNA", at positions 1926 to 2925 of the family's 2925-position model. The record is from RNAcentral. Lineage: Eukaryota; Metazoa; Chordata; Amphibia; Anura; Hylidae.